Non-coding RNA from Coffea arabica (coffee), 709 nucleotides. The record is from RefSeq and is a predicted model, not a curated record. Lineage: Eukaryota; Viridiplantae; Streptophyta; Magnoliopsida; Gentianales; Rubiaceae.
UUGAGUAUUCGCAUAUAUGUGAUGCAAUUCCUGUAAUCGCUCGGAGUGCAAGCUCAAGUCUUUGGUAAAAGCUAAUAUGUCUUUGGAAUUUGGGAACAAGUUUUGCCAACUUAGUAAUGAAAUGUCCAAUAGAUAAAAUCUCUUCGUUUAUCUGGGAUUUCUUUGGAGGGUGAAGAUGAAAGAAUCCCUAUCAUAGACCUUUACCCUGGUGCUAAAGAGAAACCACUGUGAUUAAGUCAACGCCUUAGGGAAGUUGAAAUAAAAAAUUUCUCUUGGUAGCAACACGAGUUUGAGAUCGUAAGAUAUCUUUUGCAGCAUGGGGCCAUGUUACAGAAGAUGUCCAUACAUGCUUCAGGAACAAUAAUGCCAAAGAAAUGGUCCUCAUCUGCCCACAAGAAGAUGAUGAAACUCUCAAGUACCAAGAGAAACCAAACUACUUUUGAAAGGAAUGGACUCAAGAAACCAAAGCUUCCUCUAGUUGGUGAUCCUUCAUCCGGUGAAGAAUUUGGGCAAAAAUGUGCAUGAUAUAUAGCUAUUUCAGCUCCAUCAACAUCACUAUAGGUAAAAGAUCAAAUUGUUUUAAUUUAUUGUGCUUAUUUAGAAGUUUUUUAAGUACCGUAUCUUGUUGAUCAUCUUAAUACUUGUCAUAUUACCAUUGAAGGCCUUCACAGUAGCAUGUGGCCAAGAUAUAGGUGUUAGAUUGCUUGUA